ACAAACUUGGUCAUUUAGAGGAAGUAAAAGUCGUAACAAGGUAACCGUAGGUGAACCUGCGGUUGGAUCAUUACUGAACUGUGGAAAAAUGACCCCUUCGUGUGAACUGUAUUUUUUCUUUGGUGGCCCACAAAACAUGUUGGAGCGUUUUUUUUUUAAUGUACUUGCUUACUUGACUGAGGUCUUGGGAGUACGGUCAUUAUAAAAAGAACGCGACUUCGGGCCACCUAACUGUUAUUAAAUUCUUUGUUUUGAUGUAUAUUUUGUCUUUGUAUGAGUUGAAUCUCUAAUAAACAAAAACAACUUUUGACAAUGGAUCUCUUGGCUCUUGCAUCGAUGAAGAACGCAGC
RNAcentral lists this unclassified non-coding RNA (350 nucleotides) under uncultured fungus. RNAcentral's name for it is "partial contains small subunit ribosomal RNA, internal transcribed spacer 1, and 5.8S ribosomal RNA". The stretch from base 1 to 73 matches the Rfam family "Eukaryotic small subunit ribosomal RNA", at positions 1759 to 1831 of the family's 1831-position model. The record is from RNAcentral. Lineage: Eukaryota; Fungi.